AAAAGGAUAGUCGGGCACAAUGAGAUGUAACAUUUCUUUGUGGUUAUCAAUUGGAAUUCCAUUAAAAGCUUUCAAUGCAUCAGCAUUCUUAACAAGGUACAUGUAUACUUUAGGCAAGGAAGUUGGUUCAACACCAAUUUCAACUAAUUCAGCCCAAAUAUCUCCACCAUUAGCACUCUUACUCUAUUUGACCAACUCCUCUGAGCUCAUUUUAAACACCUCAACUAUUGUCUUUAAAGUAUUAGAAAUUUCUCUCAUGCUUGUAUCAUCUUCAACAACCUUUUUUGCUCGUUUC
This 295-nucleotide long non-coding RNA is filed under the name Medicago truncatula (barrel medic). RNAcentral describes it as "long non-coding RNA (MTRU_LNC008457)". The record is from RNAcentral. Lineage: Eukaryota; Viridiplantae; Streptophyta; Magnoliopsida; Fabales; Fabaceae.